This 491-nucleotide ribosomal RNA is filed under the name uncultured bacterium. RNAcentral's name for it is "partial 16S ribosomal RNA". It matches the Rfam family "Bacterial small subunit ribosomal RNA", at positions 29 to 507 of the family's 1533-position model. The record is from RNAcentral.
AGUGAACGCUGGCGGUAGGCCUAACACAUGCAAGUCGAACGGCAGCACAGUAAGAGCUUGCUCUUACGGGUGGCGAGUGGCGGACGGGUGAGGAAUACAUCGGAAUCUACUUUUUCGUGGGGGAUAACGUAGGGAAACUUACGCUACUACCGCAUACGACCUACGGGUGAAAGCAGGGGAUCUUCAGACCUUGCGCGAUUGAAUGAGCCGAUGUCGGAUAGCUAGUUGGCGGGGUAAAGGCCCACCAAGGCGACGAUCCGUAGCUGGUCUGAGAGGAUGAUCAGCCACACUGGAACUGAGACACGGUCCAGACUCCUACGGGAGGCAGCAGUGGGGAAUAUUGGACAAUGGGCGCAAGCCUGAUCCAGCCAUACCGCGUGGGUGAAGAAGGCCUUCGGGUUGUAAAGCCCUUUUGUUGGGAAAGAAAAGCAGCAGGUUAAUACCCCGCUGUUCUGACGGUACCCAAAGAAUAAGCACCGGCUAACUUCGUG